Sus scrofa (pig) is the source of this 1485-nucleotide non-coding RNA. The record is from RefSeq and is a predicted model, not a curated record. Lineage: Eukaryota; Metazoa; Chordata; Mammalia; Artiodactyla; Suidae.
AGGGAAUGAAGAGGAGGCCCACCCAGCAGGGUCAGGGGAGGAGCCCAGGAGUUGGUGUUUUAACUGUAUUUGCCAUAGCGAGAGGGGCUGUGUUUUCAAGAAAUCGGGUGAAGAGAAGAAGCGAGUCAUGGAAGAUGACUGUGGUUAUACACAGGGGGUGACCAGGCAGCAGACAGAAAUGAUCGAUGGAGGAAACCAUGUCCCCACACCUCAUCCUCUCACAGACGGGACCGGGGAUUGCCUGAGAGGAGAGUGUCCUGGAGUCUGAGAGUCUGGGAGCUGGACACAAAAGAAGACAAGGUGAGUGAAAAAUACAGAAAUGUUUCGGCAAAGACUAACAAAGCGGAGGUGAUGUAUGUCAGAGAUUUUAUUUCUUUGGAAAGUGUGAGGCCCUCCGUUCAUCCACAGAGAGUCCAGGCCUGGGAACCUCAGAACUGAGAAAAACGUGGAAUAAGCAGAUUGGGGAAUGUGACCGGCAGUCGAUUCCCAAGUUUGCCUUCAGAGAAAAACAUUACACAAAACAAAAACAAGACGAGAAGCAAAAAAACCACUGCACGAUUUAGUGGAUGAGGGCAGCUAUCCUGGAGACCUUGUCUGUCACUAGCUGUGUGGCACUAAACAAGUCACCCAGACCUCUGGCUCAGUUGCCCCCAUCUCUGCAACGAUACUCAAGAACAAAUAAAUGACUCUCCAGAGAACCUGUGGACAAACGGCUAUUGGAUCAACUUCCUCCGGCCUCAAGGACGCACACCAGGUAAACUGAACCCCUGUAUUUCUAAUAAGUUGAGCCAAAUGUCAAAGACUGCAUAACCUCCAAGCUGAACCCCUGGAAAAAUAACACCUCUUGGGUGAAGAAGGUUGAUAUGCAGAAAAUUGUCGGAAACAGCAACUCCCAACCACCUAUGGAAAGACUAAACUCAUCUCAUAGAUUCACAGCAUCUUCAGGCUGAAAGCUAUUAAACUCCUGGUGCAACAAAUGAGCCUGGAAGUCACAUGUAUGGCCAGGCAGUGGCAAAGGCCAAACUAGACCUCAUGUCACAUCACAGCUAGUCAAUAAUGAUUUCAACCAAAAAGAAAUUACUGUCUGGAGAAAACAGAAAUAAAAUAAAAUCCACUCUCAGAUGGAGGAUAAUAUGAGAAAAAGAAUGUAUAUAAAUGUAUAACUGGGUCACUUUGCUGUAUAGCGGAAAUUGAUAGAACAUUGAUCACAAAUAUGAUCCCUGUUGGUGGAGGAGUCUAAGAAGAAGCCAGUCAAAUACAGAUGCUUGUUCCCCAAAUGGUCACAAAUGCUGAGUUCUUACUGGAAGCUACAGAUGACAUCAGCUAAUGAUUUGCCAGAUAUUUUCAAGCAAGCUCCACAGCUACAAAGAAGGGAUGAUAAAUUGUAAAAAAUCAAGAUUCUGUGCAGGUGUCCUUCUUCAUAGCUACAUGCAAAACAGAUAUUAACUUAAAAAAUAAAAGAUGAGAGUGUUGUGAUUGAGGAAA